CCUACGGACGGCUGCAGUGAGGAAUAUUGGUCAAUGGACGCGAGUCUGAACCAGCCAAGUAGCGUGAAGGAUGACUGCCCUAUGGGUUGUAAACUUCUUUUAUAUGGGAAUAAAAUGAGCCACGUGUGGCUUUUUGUAUGUACCAUAUGAAUAAGGAUCGGCUAACUCCGUGCCAGCAGCCGCGGUAAUACGGAGGAUCCGAGCGUUAUCCGGAUUUAUUGGGUUUAAAGGGAGCGUAGGUGGAUUGUUAAGUCAGUUGUGAAAGUUUGCGGCUCAACCGUGAAAUUGCAUUUGAUACUGGCAGUCUUGAGUACAGUUGAGGUAGGCGGAAUUCGUGGUGUAGCGGUGAAAUGCUUAGAUAUCACGAAGAACUCCGAUUGCGAAGGCAGCUCACUAAACUGCAACUGACACUGAGGCUCGAAAGUGUGGGUAGCAAACAGGAUUAGAUACCCGAGUAGUC
This 460-nucleotide ribosomal RNA is filed under the name uncultured bacterium. RNAcentral describes it as "partial 16S ribosomal RNA". It matches the Rfam family "Bacterial small subunit ribosomal RNA", at positions 338 to 795 of the family's 1533-position model. The record is from RNAcentral.